CAACAGACCCCCUCAGACGGAUGGAGGAGCCAGCUGAUUGGACGAGCAGGAGGGAAGAGAACAGACAGUCAGAGCGUCACAGAGAAGAAGAAGAAGAAGAAGAGACCCAGCAGAAAGAAAGAAGGAGGAGAAGAAGAGAAGGAGUCGGGUUUCUGUUGCUCUCUGUGCCACAGGUAACUACAUUACCCACAAUCCCUCACUCAACAGAUCACUAGGCUCGUUGUAGGUGAGCCAGGUCUGUGCAGAAUCGAUCACCGGCGAUCGCCGCCCAAUGCAUGCUGGGUAGACUUGUGUCCGACUUGCUCUGACAUCAUGCACACGUGGUCAACGAUGACCUCACGAG
This is a long non-coding RNA of Sander lucioperca (pikeperch), 343 nucleotides long. RefSeq lists it as uncharacterized. NCBI's taxonomy places the organism in Eukaryota, Metazoa, Chordata, Actinopteri, Perciformes, Percidae. The transcript has 3 exons. The record is from RefSeq and is a predicted model, not a curated record.